Molecule: ribosomal RNA, 240 nt
Filed under: Triticum aestivum (bread wheat)
Lineage: Eukaryota; Viridiplantae; Streptophyta; Magnoliopsida; Poales; Poaceae
Description: partial small subunit ribosomal RNA
Source: RNAcentral
AUGCCGGUCCCGAUGACCUGGCUGACGAAGAGCGCCCGCGGCGAGGUGAGCGUCAGGUACCCGGUCUUGAAGUCCGACAUGAAGUCGGAGGCGGUGGAGACGAUGGACGAGACGACGCCGCAGAUGACGAGGCUCCCCACCACCCCGCCGUUGCCGUACCCGAUCCACGACGCGAACAGCAGGAUCACCAGCUUGCUGUACUGCGCCGCGAAGUUGGUCUCGGCCACCCCCGUGCCGUAG